UAACCUGCCCAAGAGAUCGGGAUAACACCUGGAAACAGAUGCUAAUACCGGAUAACAACAGAUGAUGCCUAUCAACUGUUUAAAAGAUGGUUCUGCUAUCACUCUUGGAUGGACCUGCGGUGCAUUAGCUAGUUGGUAGGGUAACGGCCUACCAAGGCGAUGAUGCAUAGCCGAGUUGAGAGACUGAUCGGCCACAUUGGGACUGAGACACGGCCCAAACUCCUACGGGAGUCAGCAGCA
Molecule: ribosomal RNA, 240 nt
Filed under: uncultured Lactobacillus sp.
Lineage: Bacteria; Bacillati; Bacillota; Bacilli; Lactobacillales; Lactobacillaceae
Description: partial 16S ribosomal RNA
Rfam family: Bacterial small subunit ribosomal RNA
Source: RNAcentral